UAUUUUUAAUUGACAUAGACCAAGUCCUCUAGUAAAAU
RNAcentral lists this transfer RNA (38 nucleotides) under Causonis wentsiana. RNAcentral's name for it is "partial tRNA-Phe". Lineage: Eukaryota; Viridiplantae; Streptophyta; Magnoliopsida; Vitales; Vitaceae. The record is from RNAcentral.